RNAcentral lists this ribosomal RNA (440 nucleotides) under uncultured bacterium. RNAcentral's name for it is "partial 16S ribosomal RNA". It matches the Rfam family "Bacterial small subunit ribosomal RNA", at positions 338 to 795 of the family's 1533-position model. The record is from RNAcentral.
CCUACGGGGGGCUGCAGUGGGGAAUAUUGCACAAUGGGGGAAACCCUGAUGCAGCGACGCCGCGUGAGUGAAGAAGUAAUUCGUUAUGUAAAGCUCUAUCAGCAGGGAAGAAAAUGACGGUACCUGAGUAAGAAGCCCCGGCUAACUACGUGCCAGCAGCCGCGGUAAUACGUAGGGGGCAAGCGUUAUCCGGAUUUACUGGGUGGAAAGGGAGCGUAGACGGCAGUGCAAGUCUGGAGGGAAAGGCGGGGGCUCAACCCCCGGACUGCUCUGGAAACUGUACGGCUGGAGUGCAGGAGAGGUAAGUGGAAUUCCUAGUGUAGCGGUGAAAUGCGUAGAUAUUAGGAGGAACACCAGUGGCGAAGGCGGCUUACUGGACUGUAACUGACGUUGAGGCUCGAAAGCGUGGGGAGCAAACAGGAUUAGAUACCCGUGUAGUC